GAUGAACGCUGGCGGCGUGCCUAAUACAUGCAAGUCGAGCGAACGGACGAGAAGCUUGCUUCUCUGAUGUUAGCGGCGGACGGGUGAGUAACACGUGGAUAACCUACCUAUAAGACUGGGAUAACUUCGGGAAACCGGAGCUAAUACCGGAUAAUAUUUUGAACCGCAUGGUUCAAAAGUGAAAGACGGUCUUGCUGUCACUUAUAGAUGGAUCCGCGCUGCAUUAGCUAGUUGGUAAGGUAACGGCUUACCAAGGCAACGAUGCAUAGCCGACCUGAGAGGGUGAUCGGCCACACUGGAACUGAGACACGGUCCAGACUCCUACGGGAGGCAGCAGUAGGGAAUCUUCCGCAAUGGGCGAAAGCCUGACGGAGCAACGCCGCGUGAGUGAUGAAGGUCUUCGGAUCGUAAAACUCUGUUAUUAGGGAAGAACAUAUGUGUAAGUAACUGUGCACAUCUUGACGGUACCUAAUCAGAAAGCCACGGCUAACUACGUGCCAGCAGCCGCGGUAAUACGUAGGUGGCAAGCGUUAUCCGGAAUUAUUGGGCGUAAAGCGCGCGUAGGCGGUUUUUUAAGUCUGAUGUGGAAGCCCACGGCUCAACCGUGGAGGGUCAUUGGAAACUGGAAAACUUGAGUGCAGAAGAGGAAAGUGGAAUUCCAUGUGUAGCGGUGAAAUGCGCAGAGAUAUGGAGGAACACCAGUGGCGAAGGCGACUUUCUGGUCUGUAACUGACGCUGAUGUGCGAAAGCGUGGGGAUCAAACAGGAUUAGAUACCCUGGUAGUCCACGCCGUAAACGAUGAGUGCUAAGUGUUAGGGGGUUUCCUCCCCUUAGUGCUGCAGCUAACGCAUUAAGCACUCCGCCUGGGGAGUACGACCGCAAGGUUGAAACUCAAAGGAAUUGACGGGGACCCGCACAAGCGGUGGAGCAUGUGGUUUAAUUCGAAGCAACGCGAAGAACCUUACCAAAUCUUGACAUCCUUUGACAACUCUAGAGAUAGAGCCUUCCCCUUCGGGGGACAAAGUGACAGGUGGUGCAUGGUUGUCGUCAGCUCGUGUCGUGAGAUGUUGGGUUAAGUCCCGCAACGAGCGCAACCCUUAAGCUUAGUUGCCAUCAUUAAGUUGGGCACUCUAAGUUGACUGCCGGUGACAAACCGGAGGAAGGUGGGGAUGACGUCAAAUCAUCAUGCCCCUUAUGAUUUGGGCUACACACGUGCUACAAUGGACAAUACAAAGGGCAGCGAAACCGCGAGGUCAAGCAAAUCCCAUAAAGUUGUUCUCAGUUCGGAUUGUAGUCUGCAACUCGACUACAUGAAGCUGGAAUCGCUAGUAAUCGUAGAUCAGCAUGCUACGGUGAAUACGUUCCCGGGUCU
RNAcentral lists this ribosomal RNA (1372 nucleotides) under uncultured bacterium. RNAcentral's name for it is "bacterial SSU rRNA". It matches the Rfam family "Bacterial small subunit ribosomal RNA", at positions 28 to 1381 of the family's 1533-position model. The record is from RNAcentral.